AAAUGCUCCAGGGAGAAAAUCCAACCAAAUCUCUCACCUCUCGGAUCAAGAACGCACCAACAACGCCCAGAGAACCACUCAGACAGAUCGAAAUCGAUCCAAUUCCCCCCAAGAUACCCCCAGAAAGGGCGCACCUUUGGAUCUCCAAUAGAUGCAAAACACCCGUAAAAUGGGAUUAAAUCGAGCCAAAAUCAGCGGGCUCGUCAGCAGCAACAAGACGACGAAAUCACGCGUAAAAACGAGAGCUUUGGCCGCCCAGAGGGGGGAAGAGAAGGAUCGUAAAUAGGAGUAGGCAAAAUUCCCUGUGCAAGAAUGGAUUUUUGUGAGAGAUAGGGAGGAGAGGAUGCGAGGAAGGAGGAGAGGGGGGGAAGACGAUGGCCACAAGAAGCUUGCGACGACGCCGUCGUCCACAAAAACACGCAGAGAAGGGGAGAAAACGCGAGAGUGGAAGGGGGCUAAUACAAAUCAAUCAAUCAUUGCCGCAACCGCAUCUCCUUGAGCUGGAUUUAUAUAUACUUUCUUCUUUUUCUUUCUUUCUUUCUUUUUUUUUUUGCUACUAGUGAGCAACUUUGCUUUGUUUUGUUUUGUGCUGUCCAAGAGGAAACUGGUAAAUGCCAUCUUUUUGUUGCAUACGACGAGGUAACAGUGAACAUUAUGAGAAAUUCAGGAUGCAGAUUUUGUUUUCCAUUACAGAGAAUAAUGUGUUGUUUGUAAUAAAUGGAUAAUAAGUUAAUAGUAUGUAAAAAUGAUGUACUCCCUCCGGUUUCUUUACAGAGGAGAAUGUGAUCUUUUAUUGAAUGGAAUAUAAAUUACUACUAGG
RNAcentral lists this small RNA (820 nucleotides) under Oryza sativa Japonica Group (Japanese rice). RNAcentral's name for it is "sRNA Os03g0182350". The record is from RNAcentral. Lineage: Eukaryota; Viridiplantae; Streptophyta; Magnoliopsida; Poales; Poaceae.